GAAAUAAUGUUAACACCAUCCUCCACAGCUUUAUCAAAUCCAGCUAAAAUAUCAGAAUCCAUACAACCCCUUUUCCAACAAACUUUAUACGCAGCAAUCCGCGCCUUGGGUGCUAUACCAACCGCAACCCCUUUAGCAAAUCCCAGGAACGAAGCAUCCCCGACAGCUCUACCAGCUGCCGUGGACGCAGUGUGCGUUCCAUGCCCCUCGGUAUCUCUAGCAGACUUUAUAUCAGCAGAGGAAUUCAUACUCCCAAUUUUCGCCAGAUACCCAGAUGUAAAAUACCUAGCUCCAAUGAUUUUCUUAUUGCAAUUAGCUUUUGUAAAAUUUUCACCCUCAGUACACUCCCCUUUCCAAAACGAGGGAAUAGGUCCCAUCCCCUGAUCAUGAAAACUCGAUCGUUCUGGCCAUAUCCCGGUAUCGAGUACACCGAUCACAACAUUAGAACCAGAAUCAGAUUCAGUUACAAGAUUAGACAUGGUAAAAGGUGAAUCCAAUCCCAUAAAAUGAG
RNAcentral lists this unclassified non-coding RNA (511 nucleotides) under Hevea brasiliensis (rubber tree). The record is from RNAcentral. Lineage: Eukaryota; Viridiplantae; Streptophyta; Magnoliopsida; Malpighiales; Euphorbiaceae.